RNAcentral lists this ribosomal RNA (1349 nucleotides) under bacterium. RNAcentral's name for it is "bacterial SSU rRNA". It matches the Rfam family "Bacterial small subunit ribosomal RNA", at positions 1 to 1080 of the family's 1533-position model. The record is from RNAcentral.
UUUUAAGAGAGUUUGAUCCUAGCUCAGGAUGAACGCUGGCGGCGUGGAUAAGGCAUGCAAGUAGAACGCCCAGCCCAUUCAGAAUUUUAUUGUAGUAUAAUGUUUAUUAUGUAUUAUCUAUAUUUGUUACGAAGAGAAUCAAAUUCUCGAGAGACAUAUAUUGGAUACACCAACGACCUGAAAAGGAGAUUGGAAGAACAUAAUAAACAUACAUCAACAGAACGAUCGUUUACUCAAGAAAGGGGCGAUUGGAAGUUGGUGUAUUAUGAAGCGUAUUCCGCGAAAGAAGAUUGUGUUGCGAGAGAAAAAUCUCUCAAGCAAUAUGGUUCAUCUCUCGGACAUCUUAAAAAAAGAAUACGCUUCAGUCUCUCAAUAGAAAAUUGAAUGGGCUGGGAGUUGCGAACGAGGUAGUAAUACAUAGGUACUCACCCCCGAGUCAGGAAUAACCUACCGAAAGGUAGGCUAAUACUUGAUAGUCCCGCAAGGGUAAAGAUUUAUCGCUUGGGGAGAGGCCUGUGCAGUAUCAGCUAGUUGGUAGGGUAAUGGCCUACCAAGGCAAUGACGCUUAGGAGAGCUGAGAGGCUGACCUCCACCGAUGGUACUGCGACACGGACCAUACACCUACGGGUGGCUGCAGUCGAGAAUCUUCCGCAAUGGACGCAAGUCUGACGGAGCGACGCCGCGUGACUGAUGAAGUCUUUCGGGAUGUAAAGGUCUUUUAUGAAGGAGAAAGUUUUGAUAGUACUUCAUGAAUAAGGGGUUGCUAAACUCGUGCCAGCAGCAGCGGUAAUACGAGUACCCCAAGCGUUAUCCGGAAUUAUUGGGCGUAAAGGGUAUGUAGGUUGUUAUGUUAGUCUCUUGUCAAAGCCUCCGGCUCAACCGGAGAAUUGCGGGGGAAACGGCAUAACUAGAGGGCGUGAGAGGUUUGCGGAACUCAUGGUGUAGGGGUGAAAUCCGUUGAUAUCAUGGGGAACACCAAAAGCGAAGGCAGCAAACUGGCACGUUUCUGACGCUGAAAUCCGAAAGCGUAGGUAGCGAAUGGGAUUAGAUACCCCAGUAGUCUACGCCCUAAACGAUGAUAUCUAGCUUUUCGGAGUAUCGACCCUCUGAGAGGCACAGCUAACGCGUUAAGAUAUCCGCCUGGGAAGUACGACCGCAAGGUUAAAACUCAAAGGAAUAGACGGGGACUUGCACAAGCGGUGGAUCAGGUGGCUUAAUUCGAUGGUAAACGAAGAACCUUACCAAGGUUAGAAAUCCCAACGACGAAUAGUAGAAAUAUUAUUCUUUCGCAAGAACGGUGGGACAGGUGAUGCAUGGCCGUCGUCAGUUCGUGGUUUGAGCUGUUCCCU